AACGUACGCUGGCGGCAUGCCUAACACAUGCAAGUCGAACGAGACCUUCGGGUCUAGUGGCGCACGGGUGCGUAACGCGUGGGAACCUGCCCUUAGGUUCGGAAUAACUCCCCGAAAGGGGUGCUAAUACCGGAUAAUGUCUUCGGACCAAAGAUUUAUCGCCCUUGGAUGGGCCCGCGUUGGAUUAGCUAGUUGGUAGGGUAAAAGCCUACCAAGGCGACGAUCCAUAGCUGGUUUGAGAGGAUGAGCAGCCACACUGGGACUGAGACACGGCCCAGACUCCUACGGGAGGCAGCAGUGGGGAAUAUUGGACAAUGGGCGAAAGCCUGAUCCAGCAAUGCCGCGUGAGUGAUGAAGGCCUUAGGGUUGUAAAGCUCUUUUACCCGGGAUGAUAAUGACAGUACCGGGAGAAUAAGCUCCGGCUAACUCCGUG
This 433-nucleotide ribosomal RNA is filed under the name uncultured bacterium. Its description in RNAcentral is "partial 16S ribosomal RNA". It matches the Rfam family "Bacterial small subunit ribosomal RNA", at positions 29 to 507 of the family's 1533-position model. The record is from RNAcentral.